GGUGGAGCGAUUUGUCUGGUUUAUUCCGAUAACGAACGAGACUCUAGCCUACUAAAUAGUGACUGGAUUGCUUGUGUCCAGAAUACUUCUUAGAGGGACAAGUGGUGUUCAGCCACACGAAAUUGAGCAAUAACAGGUCUGUGAUGCCCUUAGAUGUCCGGGGCUGCACGCGCGCUACACUGGAGAAAUCAGCGUGCUAUACCAUUGCCGAAAGACAUUGGUAAACCGAUCAAAAUUCUCCGUGAUCGGGAUCGGGAAUUGGAAUUAUUUCCCUUGAACGAGGAAUUCCCAGUAAGUGUGGGUCAUCAGCUCACGCUGAAUACGUCCCUGCCCUUUGUAC
Molecule: ribosomal RNA, 340 nt
Filed under: Nematoda environmental sample
Lineage: Eukaryota; Metazoa; Nematoda
Description: SSU rRNA
Rfam family: Eukaryotic small subunit ribosomal RNA
Source: RNAcentral